CAGUCCAGUUUGCAGAGGAGGAGCACAAAUACUGCUGGCCACAGAGACGGCGGGACUGCCGGCCAGGAGAGCGCCUGGCCAGGGUCUUCCUGCUGCUGCAUGUGAAUGAGCCCGCUGCGGCUCCUUACGAGCUCCUGCCCGCCACGCCGGCCCUGACUCCAGCGAGCAGACGGCUGCGGCCCAGGAAGAGCGACCCGGCCCUGCUCAGCCUGGCGGGCUGUGGGCUCCUCUAUGACGUCACCAGGCCCUUCCGCAGUGCCAAGAGAGAGGGCCAGUUCAAGGGGGCCGAGUUCUGCGUUAAAGCCGUGUGCCCCGCCAGCCAGCCUUCCUGCCAGCCCCUUCAGGCGGCCCUGAGCUGCCCCCCUUUCCUAGCCACGCUGUGGGGCAGCCGCCCGGGCACCAGGGAGCCCUUCUCCAUUCGACAAGACCCAUCGUUCCCUGGACAGGUCUGAGCAGGCUGCUGGAUGUGGCCCCCCAAGAGACUCUGCCAGCUCGAGGCAUCUGGGAGCUGGUGAGGCGUGACGUUGACCCCAAUAAAUUGGUCGUGUGUUUUCUCUGCCUUGGCU
This 566-nucleotide long non-coding RNA is filed under the name Monodelphis domestica (gray short-tailed opossum). RNAcentral describes it as "lncRNA (ENSMODG00000049901.1)". Lineage: Eukaryota; Metazoa; Chordata; Mammalia; Didelphimorphia; Didelphidae. The record is from RNAcentral.